RNAcentral lists this ribosomal RNA (253 nucleotides) under uncultured bacterium. Its description in RNAcentral is "partial 16S ribosomal RNA". It matches the Rfam family "Bacterial small subunit ribosomal RNA", at positions 524 to 776 of the family's 1533-position model. The record is from RNAcentral.
UACGAGAUGCGCAAACGUUAUUCGGAUUUACUGGGCUUAAAGAGUUCGUAGGCGGCGCAGAAAGUAGGGUGUGAAAGCCCUCGGCUCAACCGAGGAAUUGCGCUCUAAACUACUGUGCUUGAGGAAGCUAGAGGUGAGCGGAACUGAUGGUGGAGCGGUGAAAUGCGUUGAUAUCAUCAGGAACACCGGAGGCGAAGGCGGCUCACUGGGGCUUAUCUGACGCUGAGGAACGAAAGCCAGGGGAGCGAACGGG